Molecule: ribosomal RNA, 206 nt
Filed under: uncultured bacterium
Lineage: Bacteria
Description: partial 16S ribosomal RNA
Rfam family: Bacterial small subunit ribosomal RNA
Source: RNAcentral
CGUGUAGGCGGCCCGGUAAGUCCGUUGUAAAAGUCGAAGGCUCAACCUUCGAAUGCCGAUGGAUACUGCCGGGCUAGAGUCCGGAAGAGGCGAGUGGAAUUCCUGGUGUAGCGGUGGAAUGCGCAGAUAUCAGGAGGAACACCGAUAGCGAAGGCAGCUCGCUGGGGCGGUACUGACGCUAAGACGCGAAAGCGUGGGAGCGAACA